UGCCAGCAGCCGCGGUAAUACAGAGGGUGCGAGCGUUAAUCGGAAUUACUGGGCGUAAAGGGCGCGUAGGCGGCCUGAUAAGUCGGAUGUGAAAGCCCCGGGCUUAACCUGGGAAUUGCAUACGAUACUGUCAGGCUAGAGUAUGGUAGAGGAAAGCGGAAUUCCGGGUGUAGCGGUGAAAUGCGUAGAUAUCCGGAGGAACAUCAGUGGCGAAGGCGGCUUUCUGGACCGAUACUGACGCUGAGACGCGAAAGCGUGGGGAGCAAACAGGAUUAGAUA
RNAcentral lists this ribosomal RNA (279 nucleotides) under uncultured bacterium. Its description in RNAcentral is "partial 16S ribosomal RNA". It matches the Rfam family "Bacterial small subunit ribosomal RNA", at positions 506 to 784 of the family's 1533-position model. The record is from RNAcentral.